GAAAAAUGAAUGGAUAAACAUCCAGACCAAAGUCAACAGUGCUGGAGAGUCCAAACCGGUCUCCGCAGCCGGGGAGGUUUCGACACGGAAGGAAGAUGCCAGAUGGCAGUUUUUACAUUUAUUUAAACAGAAAACGUGCACAUGAGCUGCCUACUCAUUUUCUUCACUGCGCAGCCUGGCAUUGGGGUUGGUGACUCUGAUGGCCAGUUGGGCAGCUCUUUCCACGAUGGCUUUGCGGUUCUUGGAGGAAACAUUGUGAGCGAUCUCGGCACAGUAAGAUUUGUUGCACAUCAGCAGCACUUCCAGCUCCUUGACGUUGUGGACCAGGAACUUCCGGAAGCCACUGGGCAGCAUGUGCUUUGUUUUUUUGUUGCUUCCAUAACCAAUGUUGGGCAUCAAGAUCUGGCCCUUGAAUCUUCUACGAACCCUGUUGUCAAUGCCUCUGGGUUUCCGCCAGUUACGCUUAAUUUUGACAUAUCGGUCUGACUGGUGCCGGAU
RNAcentral lists this long non-coding RNA (498 nucleotides) under Pan troglodytes (chimpanzee). Its description in RNAcentral is "long non-coding RNA NONPTRT001895". The record is from RNAcentral. Lineage: Eukaryota; Metazoa; Chordata; Mammalia; Primates; Hominidae.